Molecule: ribosomal RNA, 492 nt
Filed under: uncultured bacterium
Lineage: Bacteria
Description: partial 16S ribosomal RNA
Rfam family: Bacterial small subunit ribosomal RNA
Source: RNAcentral
AGUGAACGCUGGCGGUAGGCCUAACACAUGCAAGUCGAACGGCAGCACAGUAAGAGCUUGCUCUUACGGGUGGCGAGUGGCGGACGGGUGAGGAAUACAUCGGAAUCUACUUUUUCGUAGGGGAUAACGUAGGUAAACUUACGCUAAUACCGCAUACGACCUACGUGUGAGAGCAGGGGAUCUUCGGACCUUGCGCGAUUGAAUGAGCCGAUGUCGGAUUAGCUAGUUGGCGGGGUAAAGGCCCACCAAGGCGACGAUCCGUAGCUGGUCUGAGAGGAUGAUCAGCCACACUGGAACUGAGACACGGUCCAGACUCCUACGGGAGGCAGCAGUGGGGAAUAUUGGACAAUGGGCGCAAGCCUGAUCCAGCCAUACCGCGUGGGUGAAGAAGGCCUUCGGGUUGUAAAGCCCUUUUGUUGGGAAAGAAAAGCAGCAGGUUAAUACCCCGCUGUUCUGACGGUACCCAAAGAAUAAGCACCGGCUAACUUCGUG